UCUCUCUCUCUCUCUCUCUCUCUCUCUCUCUCUCUCUCUCUCUCUCUGUAACAUGGGUAUCCAACCACACCACAGAACUCCCUACAGGGCCAAGAGGAAACACCUAUGUCUUGUUGUGGGUCUAAUUGUGUGUCCCUUCCCCCAAAGGCCCAACCCCGUUUCUGAAAGGCGUGUCCUUUAGAAACAGGGACCAUGGAAGUAAAACAUUUAGGAUGAUGCCAUGGAGUAGAGAGGUCCUUAAUUCAGGACAACUGGUGUUCUUCCAAGAAGAAACUUGGACACAGUCACAGAAGACACCAUGGAAACAGGCAGGGGCUGGAGGGAUACAAAGAAAAGCCAAAGGUUUCCAAGGACAGAGGCCAGCCACCCCUGAAGUCAAGAGAGGAAGAUUGGUUGGACACAGGGUCUCAGAUGGAGCACAGCCCUGCUGAAGCCUUCAUUCAGAUUGCUGGCCCUUGGGACUAUGAAAAGACCAUUUUCUGUUGCUUUAAACUGUCCAAUUUGGGGACUCUUUCCCAGUUGCCCUGGAAGUCACAGGCGUUUUUAACAGUAUAGCUUCUGGGACAGGAGAGCCCUCCUCUGCCUCAGCUGACACAGAGGUACCUGGCUAGCCCCAUGUCACUGCUCUCAGCAGGGACUGGGGUUCCUGCACCCAGCCUCCCCUAGUCUCCUGGGAUCCGCAACUUCCUCAGAGGACACAUAAAGAGUCUGGGCUGGAAUCUGAACCCACGGCGAAUCCUCUGAAUGCUGAAGGAUGUCACAUAUCCCAAAUUGGCCUUGGAUUCCAGACCUUCCUGCCUAAUCCUACAAGUGGGCUUCUUCACAGCCUCCAAGAGAAAGACCUUUCCCUGCGAUGCAACUCUCUUCAGGCUGGGGGAAGAACAAUUUAACUUCGGCUGCUGGCUGUUGCAACUCCGCAGGUUCCUUCCCACCUAUGCACCUAGGCAGAGCUGGAAGGAGAACAGCUAUGGCGCUGGAGGGCAGCUGCCCCGGACUCUGGUUUCUGGUUCUGGCUGCACGGCUAGAAGGUUGGACUCCUGCUUCAAUCUAGGAGCACCCGCUUUUCAUCUGGGAAAUGGUGCGAGCCUCUGAGGAAUUAUCUGUGGAAAUUCACAAGAAAGCAUCCAGCCGGUAGCAGGUGCUAGGUGGAAGCCGGCCCCCAGUCACUCUUAGUUCCAAGCAUCCAGUUCUGUUCGGUCCAGGUCAGUGAGUCCAGCCUCCCAGGCGUCGUGAAUCUGCUAGGGUCAAUGCUUCAGGGUACCAGGGUCUUUCAGUCGGCACUGAAAUCUUCCUAGACUCUUAGGUCCCACAGAACUUCCUGGCUUAGAGGGACAGGAGAUGCCUCAGGUUUCUUGGGCUUUCCUAAAUUUGGACAAGCACGGGGUUGUGUGAGCGGCGGGGGGUAGGGAGGAUAGGGUACUGGGGAGGUGGUGGUGCUAAAUACCUGCAUUUUAAAAUGGUUCUACCACUUUCUGGCUCAGAGACCUGAGGAAAUGACUCCUGCUUGAGCCUGGGUUUCACUAUCUAUGGAAAAUGGGGGCAAAACUAAAUUUCUAGUGAGCCUUCCCUGGUCACACCACCCCAAACCUAAAGGAAUCUAAACAGGAUCACUAGUGAGCACCCCCCAGCUCCACUUACAUCUCUGAAACCACUUUUGUGGGCUCGCCUGCGAAAAGCAAAAGUCUCAAACACUUCCACCUUCCAGAGAUGACUUAGACUAAACUACCCUUUCCUCAGAGCUGCCUCAAGUUGAGGCGUGGGGUGGAUGUGGAGGCUACAAGACCUUUCAGGGUAAGAUUAGGGACUCACCCACUCCAUCUUGCAGACCACUGGGCUCCAUUUUCUGUCUUUCGAAAUUUCCUGCUCAGACUCUAUUGAUUUUCUGACUGCUCAUGGAGCGCCAGUGCCUGGAGCAUUCGGGGAAGCGUCCAACCACAGGCUCUUCUGGUUGACUCAGGAAGGCUCUGAGAAGGUGUGAACAAAACCCUCCCUAGAUAGAUCCAAGGAUGGCGAAGGCCCCGGGAGAGCUAUGCACAGCACCCUUGAGGUGGCUUUCUUUCCUGAACCAGAAGUCUGGAGGGUAAGGUGUAAGAGGGUAGGAGUUGCCAGCAGGAGUGUGCAUCUCAGAAGAGACAGCUGGAAUCCAGGGCAUGAGCCAUCAGCCUCUGCUGAAGACACUCUGCCUGCAGUCCUGUCACCCUUGCAGUUUCUGGUCACCUUUGUCACCUUCCAAAUGUUCUACAAUCACCAGCUAUAUUUUUAGCUAGGACCUUUGAGGCAGUCAGGUAUGAAUUCACCUGCUAGAAGGAACUUCCUAUACUAUCAUAGCCCUGUCGCCUUCCUUUUGUGUCUCAAGGAAGACCCUACCCUACAGGAAAGCGCACGAGUGGUCCAUGGUUCCGUUGUGGAAGCCGGGAUCCAGGAAUAUGGAAAAUCUAGUAGAUGGAAAACAAGCAGGAGAGAAGGAAAGGGAUGGAAGACCCCAAAGACAGGGCACACUGUCCAGGAGGGAAGCCUGCUCUCUUCCGGAAGUCGCUAGCUCCCUCCAGGAAGAACUAGCUGGGGUCAAAUUAGUCUCUUGCAGACUUGAAGGGUGAAUCAGAGUGAAUCACUCUGUGGGGGCGGAAUGCAAGAGCUUUAAAGAAAGCAGAAGCUUGAGGCGAGGUGAGCCAACAACCAAAGGAGAUAAGAA
Long non-coding RNA from Mus musculus (house mouse), 2692 nucleotides. RefSeq annotates it as predicted gene, 40288. The record is from RefSeq and is a predicted model, not a curated record. The transcript is spliced from 3 exons. Lineage: Eukaryota; Metazoa; Chordata; Mammalia; Rodentia; Muridae.